AUUAUUGAUAAGCUGAGUCUAGGUAAUAAUUGUUAUUGGAAAAAAAUGUUCAUUUAAAACAUUUAAAAUAUUUCUAAAUAGGAAAUUCUUGAUAGAUAUUAAUUGAGUUCUAAACAAACAACAGGAGUUCCGGAAUAGUUUGUGCUGUCAGAGUUAAUUUUUAACUAGGUAUGAAAUAAAUAACAAUUUAAGGAGUGAGUGGACAAAGAUAAUGUUAAGUGACAUUUUUUGAAAAGCGGUUUUUAUUUUAUGAACGAAAGUGGUGGGGUACAUUACAUAUUUUAGCAAAAUAUUAAAUCAACA
Molecule: non-coding RNA, 303 nt
Organism: Cinara cedri
Lineage: Eukaryota; Metazoa; Arthropoda; Insecta; Hemiptera; Aphididae
Source: the annotation of a GenBank genome assembly